UACGGCGUGGACUACCAGGGUAUCUAAUCCUGUUCGCUACCCACGCUUUCGCACCUCAGUGUCAGUACAGAUCCAGGAGGCCGCCUUCGCCACUGGUAUUCUUCAUAAUAUCUACGCAUUCCACCGCUACACUAUGAAUUCUACCUCCCUCUAUCGUACUCUAGUGAGUUAGUUUUGGAUGCAGUUCCUAGGUUGAGCCCAGGGCUUUCACAUCCAACUUAACAAACCACCUACGCGCGCUUUACGCCCAGUAAUUCCGAUUAACGCUUGCACCUUCCGUAUUACCGCGGCUGCUGGCACGGAAUUAGCCGGUGCUUAUUCUGCAGGUAACAUCAAGGUUAUAAGGUAUUAGCUUAUAACUUUUUCUCCCUGCUUAAAGUGCUUUACAACCCGAAGGCCUUCUUCACACACGCGGUAUGGCUGGAUCAGGCUUGCGCCCAUUGUCCAAUAUUCCCCACUGCUGCCUCCCGUAGGAGUCUGGGCCGUGUCUCAGUCCCAAUGUGGCUGAUCGUCCUCUCAGACCAGCUAAAGAUCGUUGCCUUGGUGAGCCUUUACCUCACCAACAAGCUAAUCAGCCGCAAGCUUCUCUCUAGGCGGAAAAAUCCGUUUCACUAAAAAGCAUAUGGGGUAUUAGCAAUCGUUUCCAAUUGUUAUCCCCCUCCUAGAGGUAAAUUCUUACGUGUUACUCACCCGUCCGCCACUUGAGUUAAAAACUCCCGUACGACUUGCAUGUGUUAGGCAUACCGCCAGCGUUCAUCCUGAGCCAGGAUCAAACUCU
This 778-nucleotide ribosomal RNA is filed under the name uncultured bacterium. RNAcentral describes it as "partial 16S ribosomal RNA". The record is from RNAcentral.